Sarcophilus harrisii (Tasmanian devil) is the source of this 1828-nucleotide long non-coding RNA. Lineage: Eukaryota; Metazoa; Chordata; Mammalia; Dasyuromorphia; Dasyuridae. The record is from Ensembl.
GGGCAAAAAGAGAAGCUCAGAGCACUUCGGACCCUGGUUCCGUGCCCCAGGGACCCCCUGAGCCAGCCCUCUGUUAGGAGCACAGCCGAACUCCAUCAUCUCCUGCUUCUUCAUUUGGGCUUCCCAAGAAGGAAGGGCACCAGCCCAGGGUUUGGCAGCCCCCGGAGAGGGCAUCCUGAGUGGCCGGGGGAGCCCCAGGCUCUUCCACAUACCAGGGAGACGGGCAACCUGGGGGAGAAGGUGCAGGAUGGGGGCUGGAGGCCCUGCGGGCAGGAGGAAGAUGGGCUGCUGACUCUGACCAGCACCAGCUCUGGGGGCCCUGCGGAGGCUGUGGACACCAACGAUGAGGAGGCUUCUGCCUCUGCGACCUGCUCCACCUGCCCCAUCCUGGACCUGCCCCCUCCCUGGCCCACGGGCUGCGGGGCUGAGGACGUCCAGGCCUUCUGCUUCAUCUGCCUUCACAAGGAAGAAGAGACUCUGGAGACCCUUCCCCUUCAGAGUUGAGUACUUAGAAAGAUUCCUGUUGGGUGCGAUGUCUUUAAGAAGUGGGCCUCUCAGGUAGGCUUUCAGAAUCUGCUCCCUUUGACGGGUCAAUUGGACUGAACUAACUGAGAGUUCUCAGUUUUAAGGACUGGCUCUUUCCUGGGUUCAUAGCUAGUUCUCUUUUUGACUAUUAGAGAUCUUACCCCUUGAGGCUGCUUCCAGUAUUCAGUGACUGCCUCUCUAUAUGGAGUGUAUCAUUACUAAACAAACUAUUCCUCUAACUCUCUUGAACUGACUCUCCAACUGUUGAAUGAGUAGUUCUGUUGCUAGACUUGAAGGUCCCAAGCCUGGGCGGGUGGAUGGGAGAGAACAGAAAGAGAGUCCCAUCAUCUUCCUUUCCAAGAGUGAUUUCCAUCUGAGAGACAGUGUCUCCCACUCUUGAAUUUCGAAACUAGUAUGAAAAGAGCCCAGGAGCGUGGUCGAUUUUUGCCAUCUUUGACAAAAUCCUGAGUUAAAUCUACUCCCUCACUUACACUAUGCUUCCACCAAGCCAAAAUGGGCUAUUCUCCCUGCUCCUUCUAAUGAUAUUAACUUGCCUUCCAAAUUUCACAUUCUAUUUUGUUUCUACUCCUCUGAUGCAUUUAUCAUGAAAUAUUGUAUAUAUUAGAGUGAUGUGUUCAUGUCUUUCUCUUCCUAAUUCCUUCCCAACCCCAGACUUUAAAUUCUAAGGAGUUAUCUUAACUAAAUUUUGUGUCUCUCCCAGUGCUUUGUACACAGUAUUGAUUAAUAAAUAUUUAUUGUAUUAUCUUAUAUUUUUAUUCUGGGAACAAAUUAAAUAAUGUAUGUAAGGUUUUAUAACAGUAAAGUACUACAUAUCUUAACUAAAUUUUAUUUCUCUCCAGUGCUUUGUAUACAGUAUUUAUUAAUAAAUAUUUAUUAUACUAUCUUAUAUUUUUAUUCUGGGGAACAAAUUAAAUAAUAUAUGUAAGGUUUUAUAACAGCAAAGUGUUACAUAAAUGUAUUUAAUAAGUGCUCAAUCUGAACAUGAUCAAGGGCUUCACUCUUUAUAUUAAUUUUGGAACCAUGAUCUAGCAGACUUAGGAUAUUCCCUAUCCUUUCCCCUACCCCUUGUACCCAUAUAAUUGGGAGGAAGGCAACAAUAGAUGCAGUUAUCAUGUAUUAAUUUUAUGUAUAAUAAUGUUAAGGUGAAGGGAAGAAAGUUGAGAUAAUUAUUCAAAAAACAUCUCUUAUGGACCUGAUAUUGCUAGGCACUUUGCAUUGAAAUGCAAUGAGAAAAAGCAAAUAAUUUCCAUUUUAAUCUGGGAGGCAAUAUGCACACACACAU